GACACCCUGCAGUGUUCGAGGUGCUUUCAAUAACUGCUCUUUGCCUUUGAAAUAACACGGGAGCCGCGAAAUCGACGGUGGAUGCUAGGCCGUAAAUCGGAAAGCAUGAAGCCGUCUAGUGGCGCCCACCUUAGCUUAAAAAGGUCUUGAGCCUUUGAGUACACGGCACAGGUGGGGUGUCU
Molecule: non-coding RNA, 182 nt
Filed under: Opitutaceae bacterium
Lineage: Bacteria; Pseudomonadati; Verrucomicrobiota; Opitutia; Opitutales; Opitutaceae
Description: 6S RNA
Rfam family: 6S / SsrS RNA
About the family: E. coli 6S RNA was the first non coding RNA to be sequenced, but its function was unknown until recently. It consists of 184 nucleotides that fold into an extended hairpin structure with a large single-stranded internal bulge.
Source: RNAcentral